ACUCCUACGGGAGGCAGCAGUGGGGAAUAUUGCACAAUGGGGGAAACCCUGAUGCAGCCAUGCCGCGUGUGUGAAGAAGGCCUUCGGGUUGUAAAGCACUUUCAGUAGGGAGGAAGGUAGUGUAGUUAACACCUGCAUUAUUUGACGUUACCUACAGAAGAAGCACCGGCUAACUCCGUGCCAGCAGCCGCGGUAAUACGGAGGGUGCGAGCGUUAAUCGGAAUUACUGGGCGUAAAGCGCAUGCAGGUGGCCUGUUAAGUCAGAUGUGAAAGCCCGGGGCUUAAACCUCGGAAUUGCAUUUGAAACUGGCAAGGCUAGAGUCUUGUAGAGGGGGGUAGAAUUUCAGGUGUAGCGGUGAAAUGCGUAGAGAUCUGAAGGAAUACCAGUGGCGAAGGCGGCCCCCUGGACAAAGACUGACGCUCAGAUGCGAAAAGCGUGGGGAGCAAACAGGAUUAGAUACCCUGGUAGGAUAGCG
RNAcentral lists this ribosomal RNA (476 nucleotides) under uncultured bacterium. RNAcentral's name for it is "bacterial SSU rRNA". It matches the Rfam family "Bacterial small subunit ribosomal RNA", at positions 335 to 799 of the family's 1533-position model. The record is from RNAcentral.